CGGGUAAUUGAGUAGUGGAGGUAGAGCACUGAAUGGGCUAGGGGCUGACAACAGUUACUGAACCCUAUCAAACUCCGAAUGCCAUAUACUUGUACCCCGGCAGUCAGACUACGAAUGAUAAGAUCCGUGGUCAAAAGGGAAACAGCCCAGACCAUCAGCUAAGGUCCCAAAGGGUAAGUUAAGUGGGAAAGGAUGUGGGAUUUCUAAGACAACUAGGAUGUUGGCUUAGAAGCAGCCACUCAUUUAAAGAGUGCGUAAUAGCUCACUAGUCGAGAGAUCCUGCGCCGAAGAUGUAACGGGGCUCAAACUUACCACCGAAGCUAUGGAUGUGUACUUUGUACACGUGGUAGAGGAGCUUUCUGUACAGGUUGAAGUCAUACCGUAAGGAGUGGUGGACAGUACAGAAGUGAGAAUGCUGGCAUAAGUAGCGAAAAACAAGUGAGAAUCUUGUUGACCGAAUAUCUAAGGUUUCCUGGGGAAGGCUCGUCCUCCCAGGGUUAGUCGGGACCUAAGCCGAGGCCGAAAGGCGUAGGUGAUGGACAACUGGUUGAUAUUCCAGUACCACCAUAAUGCGUUUGACAAAUGGGAUGACGCAGGAGGAUAGGAUGUGCGCACUAUUGGAUGUGCGUCUAAGCACUUAGGGUGUUAAGUAGGCAAAUCCGCUUAACAUUAAGCCUGAGGUGUGAUGGGGAGCCUAUUUUGGCGAAGUAUCUGAUUCCACGCUGCCAAGAAAAGUCUCUAUGGAGCAAA
This 750-nucleotide ribosomal RNA is filed under the name Clostridium sp. K25. RNAcentral's name for it is "bacterial LSU rRNA". It matches the Rfam family "Bacterial large subunit ribosomal RNA", at positions 883 to 1634 of the family's 2925-position model. The record is from RNAcentral. Lineage: Bacteria; Bacillati; Bacillota; Clostridia; Eubacteriales; Clostridiaceae.